CUUGGAAAAUGUGAAAUCAGAAAGUUCCCAAAUUGAAACACACUGUGAUAGCAAACGGAAACGGCUGAUGCAAUGUUACUUGCAUAAUUCGACUCUUCUCAAAGAUUAAACUAUUCAUCCUUCCCAUACUAUGUGAAACAUACAAUCUCAUACUAUGUGAAACAUACAAUCUUUGGCAACAUGAUUGAAAUAAAUGAACAUAAUAACCCAGCUGGUAGGGCUAGGAGGAUUUGGAAUCGAACUGUUACA
This 249-nucleotide long non-coding RNA is filed under the name Durio zibethinus. Its description in RNAcentral is "long non-coding RNA (DZIB_LNC000289)". The record is from RNAcentral. Lineage: Eukaryota; Viridiplantae; Streptophyta; Magnoliopsida; Malvales; Malvaceae.